This 2578-nucleotide long non-coding RNA is filed under the name Helianthus annuus (common sunflower). RNAcentral's name for it is "hypothetical non coding rna". The record is from RNAcentral. Lineage: Eukaryota; Viridiplantae; Streptophyta; Magnoliopsida; Asterales; Asteraceae.
CAUCUCGACACAAUCACCACACCUUCUCACUUAACCUACACCUCGUUUAACAUCGAGUCGCCUGAGUUUGUAGACCCUGCGGGAGUUACGUAAACGUCACCGAAGCACAAGUCAGGACUCGUAUCGUUGCCGGAACCCAUUGCAACACUUUUCGGACACCUUUUCACCUUCGCCGGAGACCAAGAAGAUGCUCGGAGAAACCACCAACGAGUUCGUUUUGACGGGAAUCCUUUCUCAUCACAGUUCCGGAUGAUCACUUUGCUCGUUCUCCUGGAUUCUUUCCCAAUCUUACUCGUACAUUACUUACAAGAAAUCGCAACACCAUCAAUGUGAGUAUACUCGAUCCCAUUUUCGUUUUACACACUUUGGGCGCAACAUGUAUUCAUAUUCAAAUUCACAAACACGUUGAACGUUAUUUAUUCACACCCUAUCCAAAUUUCACAUGAACGAUUGAUUCUUGUUAUACACGUAAUGCUAAUGUAAACACUUCAUGUCUAUAUGCUCAUUAACCUUGUUAAACUUAUUUAAUCUUGUUAGACUUGUUAAACUUGUGAGACUUGUUAGACUUGUUAUACUCAUUAAACUCCUAUGCUAUAGGAGUACGCAUCGCCCUUGAGUGAGUCUUGGGGUGUUUGCAUUUGAAAUUUUGGGUUUGACAUAUAGAACAUCGCUUCGGCAUACUGUUAACUUGUAUCAUCCUAUUCAUGUUGGAUAUGAGUACUUAAACUAUUUUAUUCUACUAUGCUACGUAUCAAACUUGUAUACUCGCCAACAUUUUUUGUUGAUGUUAUUUUAAUACAUGUUGCAGGUUGAUAGAUGAAGAAUUCAAGAAUCAAGUUAGGGUGGAUUAGAAACACACCUAGAAAUAAACUAUGUUGGAAUCUUGUUUUGUUCAUUUGAACAAUGUAUGACAUUUUAGAAUUUAUGAAAUUGAAUUUAAAUUAUAUUGUCACAAUUAGUGUUAUGUUGUUUUGAGCAAUUUGUUCGUCUCAUCCCGAUUUUUCCGCCAUCGGUUGGGGUGUGACAUUUCUUGUGACAUUUGUGUUGUCACAGGCAGUAGCUCUGGUAUCUCAUCCUCCAGAGUUGCCGUUUUGAUUGGUUUGGGGGGUGUGGGUUUCAAAACAGUUGGUCUGCUGCUUUGAUCACCUAGAGCAGUAGGCUCAGCAGCAGAUACCUGAGGAGCAGUGGUGACUGCUAAUUUCUGCUCAGGCACCUCUGCUUGUGUUUUACAAGGUGAACAUUCUUGAAAAAGUUUCAGUUGUUAAGCUAAAUCAUCCUUACUGAAUUUCUUUGCAAAAUAGUAACUUAAAAACCUUGGAAUAGUUAAAAUUUUCUUCUUGAAGAAUUGCAUAUCCCAGAUUUUGAUCUUUAAAGGGAUCUCAUUGAAGGAAGUGGUUUUGUUUGAAACACAUAGUAGGAGGGUAUGAAAUAAAAAUCUGGUUGCUGAAGGAAAAUAACCUUUUUGUAAGGUAAGUUUCUUCAUCAUUGUGGCUUCAUACCCUCUUUCAAUGAAGUCAGUUUGUAACUCGUUUUUAGUGAAAGAAGUUUUACCUUCCUGGUCACCGAGUUGAAAGACCUCUGAAAUGGAUUGUGGCGUGAUUUGGACUUCUUUCCCCUUUAUAGAAGAGUGUAUGGUGGUUGCAGUGUCUCCUUGUUUGUCAAGGGUUGCAUUCUUCCAGAACUCCCUUUGGGUCUCCAAAUAGAUUGGUGCAUCGGCGGUGAACAAAGUUUUGUACUUUGAUUUUGCCAUGAUAUUGAUGAUGGAAUCGAAAACAUCGGUGGUUCCUGGUUUUGUUAGAAGACCCAGGAGAUUGUGAGAUGAUUUGUAUGGAAUUUCAAUGGAAGUUGCCUUUUGAGAGGCUGUUUUCGAUGAUGAUUUGGAUGAGGGUUUUGCAGAUGGCUUCGAUUUUGUCAUUUUUGAAACGAAUGAUCGAAGAAAUUUGUGAGAAAUGAGAAGAAAGACUGCUUUGAGAAGAGAAUUUUUAAGAAUUCAAUUCGAUAGUAAAACCCUGUUUUGGUGGUGAGUGGGGGAUUUUAUAGGGGAAGAGAGUGAAUGCUGACGUGGCAGCCGUUACAAAAGGUCUGACUGCUAUGUACUGCCCACGUGACAACCCCUGGUGAAAGUGGAGGACAGUACUUUGAUGAAAAUGACUGAUGAAGGCAGUGGUAAGGAAGCAGUGGAUGAUUUUUACUAUCAGUGGAUAGCAUAUCAGUGGAUAAGACACUGCUUUUGAACAACAGAGUUUAUCAAAGGAAUGAGAGAACAGGGGUUGACUUUCAGCAGUGGACAGACUUUUGAAGUAGAGCAGACUUUUGAACAAUCAGUGGUUAUGGCAGACUUUUAAGGAUUUUAAUGAAAAUUUCAUUUUAAGCUAUUUUUAAGGAUGAAUUUUUGAUUUUCUGAAAACAUUUUGUUGCUUUUAUUCAUAGAAAAACAAGAUGUUGCUUGUUAUUCCAUGUUCAGCAUCCCAAUCCUAGAGACCAAGCUUUCAAAAGUGGCUGUAUCAAGUGCUUUUGUGAGCACAUCUGCCAGCUGGUCUUUAGUUGGGACAUGAUGCAGAGAAAUCAAACCUUUUUC